RNAcentral lists this long non-coding RNA (214 nucleotides) under Vitis vinifera (wine grape). RNAcentral's name for it is "long non-coding RNA (VVIN_LNC001422)". Lineage: Eukaryota; Viridiplantae; Streptophyta; Magnoliopsida; Vitales; Vitaceae. The record is from RNAcentral.
UUCCAAACGAAUAAACUCUCCCACCUUCUGCCGCCUAACACUGUCAGGGAAAUACUUCUUGUAGAAAGCCUCCCUAAAUUGUCUCCAUGUUAUGGGUCCCUGAUCCUCCAAAAGUCUCCUAGUCAUACGCCACCAAUGAUCUGCCUCUUUAUCUAACAUAAAAGCUGCAUAAGAGGCUUUUUGCUCCUCAGAGCAAUCUAUGACACCAAAGAAU